Molecule: long non-coding RNA, 1370 nt
Organism: Zootermopsis nevadensis
Lineage: Eukaryota; Metazoa; Arthropoda; Insecta; Blattodea; Termopsidae
Source: RefSeq, a predicted model, not a curated record
CAGCCCACUGGAAUACAGCACAACAAAAAUAAUGCCUCGAGUCAUGAGUGUGGCUGUUAUGUCCCAUGCUCCAGUUUUUCUGCCACUGCUUGCCAUGGCAGUGAUGGAGGUUGUAUUUCUCAGGUUGGGGCACCUAUCAGGACCUACUGCUUGCAGUGGUAGAAUGAUUAUUGAGAAAGGGACUUUCAGUUAAUGCAGACUUAGAACAGUAGAAUUGGCCUUAGAUUGUUCACAUUAGAAAUAUUUAUUUUCUGUCAGAGUGAAGAAAAUGAAAUACAUGCAGAAAAAUCUGACACUGUAUCCAGCCAGUUUAAAACCUGAGACCUUCAGAACCACCAGAUCCAUCUGUCUAAUAGUGUUGCAAAGAGUUCUCCAUAUUUCCCAACCUUUGGCCUGGAUUUCUGCCUCAUUCCAUUAUCUUUUCUGUAUUGCAUGUUCUGAACACUCUCUUCAUGCAUUUUUGAGUCUGCAGAUCUUCCUGUCUUGUAUUAAAUUAUUUUAUGUUUUUGGUUAGAUGGUUUUAAAUGUGUCCGAGGCAUACUCUGCAUUGUUGUGGUUGCAAUACAUCAUGGCUUGAAACAAGUUGGGCCUUUAUACAUAGUCUUUAUUGGUUUAUAAACAUUUUAUAUCAACUGCAGAGGUUAUUUACUGUUGUUUGGCAUGAUGAAAUGACCGUGUAAAAUUGUAAAUGAGAGAGUUGUGGCCUAUUUUAUGAUAUAAUUCCAGUGUUGUGGCAUUUGAUGAUGAAAGGGAUAUUCAAGAUUUUUGACUGCGAUCAAGACUUUUGUUUCAGCAGUUAAUCUUUGUUAUGUGGGCACAGGGAAUUUAAAUCCUUGUACUCUGGGGCAGGUUUUAUGACUGGGUUUAACAGUUUAGCAGUAUACUAGUAUGACAUGCAGGUUAACGGAUUGCUCACCUAAUGAAGAAGAAUGUGUCCACAGAGUAGGCACCAUUAUUUAUUGUCUGGAACAGGAAUUCCUUUUCUACGAUAUUCCGGUACUCCAUGUUGUCUGCAAUCAUGUAUUGUUACCAUAACUGCUAAUAUUAUGUUAUCAUCCUCCACCCAACAUUUUAUAUACAUUUUCUGUAGUCACUGUCUGCUACAUGCCCAGUCAAUUUCACCUUUAUUUAUACUGUCAGCUUCUUUAUUGACCACCACAGGAUGUUUGCAUGUUUAGAUGAUGUUAGCUAUGUUGGUAGUUGUGAAAUGUUACUGGAUUAGUCAAAAUAAUUUAUUUCUGUGAGAAUGGAUGUAGUAUGUCUAAAGCAAAGUUUUAUGAUUAUUGUGUGGAAUUUACUAUGAAGUCUGUGAACUGACUUUGUGUAUGUAUUAUGAGAAAAUAAAACAAAAGAGCAUGUUUAUGUAUUAA